UUACCUAAGCUUGACAUCCCACUGACCUCUCCCUAAUCGGAGAGUUUCCCUUCGGGGACAGUGGUGACAGGUGGUGCAUGGUUGUCGUCAGCUCGUGUCGUGAGAUGUUGGGUUAAGUCCGCAACGAGCGCAACCCUUGCCUUUAGUUGCCAGCAUUAAGUUGGGCACUCUAGAGGGACUGCCGAGGAUAACUCGGAGGAAGGUGGGGAUGACGUCAAAUCAUCAUGCCCCUUAUGCUUAGGGCUACACACGUGCUACAAUGGGUGGUACAGAGGGUUGCCAAGCCGCGAGGUGGAGCUAAUCCCUUAAAGCCAUUCUCAGUUCGGAUUGUAGGCUGAAACUCGCCUACAUGAAGCUGGAGUUACUAGUAAUCGCAGAUCAGAAUGCUGCGGUGAAUGCGUUCCCGGGUCUUGUACACACCGCCCGUCACACCAUGGAAGUUGGGGGCGCCCGAAGCCGGUUAGCUAACCUUUUAGGAAGCGGCCGUCGAAGGUGAAACCAAUGACUGGGGUGAAGUCGUAACAAGGUAGGCGUACGUGU
RNAcentral lists this ribosomal RNA (540 nucleotides) under uncultured bacterium. RNAcentral's name for it is "bacterial SSU rRNA". It matches the Rfam family "Bacterial small subunit ribosomal RNA", at positions 971 to 1509 of the family's 1533-position model. The record is from RNAcentral.